AGAGUCCUGAUAUGUUCGUCUUUACAACAGUUUUGACCGAACAAUUUGUUGCUUGGGAACUCGGAGUUUUUAUACAGCGUACAUGCCUUCUCUAAGGACUUACAGUGUGUAAAACAGAGUACCCACCUGCCGAGAGCGGGUUCAAAACGAAAGCAUUAAGACGGCAUUAUUGGGACUAGC
The sequence is a non-coding RNA, 180 nucleotides long. It matches the Rfam family "6S / SsrS RNA". Rfam says of the family: E. coli 6S RNA was the first non coding RNA to be sequenced, but its function was unknown until recently. It consists of 184 nucleotides that fold into an extended hairpin structure with a large single-stranded internal bulge. The 6S RNA specifically associates with RNA polymerase holoenzyme containing the sigma70 specificity factor. The record is from Rfam.